Molecule: ribosomal RNA, 429 nt
Filed under: Chloroflexota bacterium
Lineage: Bacteria; Bacillati; Chloroflexota
Description: Chloroflexi bacterium partial 16S ribosomal RNA
Rfam family: Bacterial small subunit ribosomal RNA
Source: RNAcentral
UAGGGAAUCUUCGGCAAUGGACGAAAGUCUGACCGAGCAACGCCGCGUGAGUGAAGAAGGUUUUCGGAUCGUAAAACUCUGUUGUUAGAGAAGAACAAGGACGUUAGUAACUGAACGUCCCCUGACGGUAUCUAACCAGAAAGCCACGGCUAACUACGUGCCAGCAGCCGCGGUAAUACGUAGGUGGCAAGCGUUGUCCGGAUUUAUUGGGCGUAAAGCGAGCGCAGGCGGUUUCUUAAGUCUGAUGUGUAAGCCCCCGGCUCAACCGGGGAGGGGCAUUGGAAACUGGGAGACUUGAGUGCAGAAGAGGUGAGUGGAGUUCCAUGUGGAGCGGUGAGAUGCGUAGAUAUAUGGCGGAACACCAGGGGCGAAGGCGGCUCUCUGGUCUGUAACUGACGCUGAGGCUCGAAAGCGUGGGGAGCAAACAGG